GUGAGGGCAAGCCAACCACAGAAAAGCCAUCUCAGUUCGGAUUGUAGUCUGCAACCCGACUACAUGAAGCUGGAAUCGCUAGUAAUCGCAGAUCAGAAUGCUGCGGUGAAUACGUUCCCGGGUCUUGUACACACCGCCCGUCACACCAUGGGAGUUGGAAAUGCCCGAAGCCAGUGACCCAACCGUAAGGAGGGAGCUGUCGAAGGUGGAGCCGAUGACUGGGGUGAAGUCGUAACAAGGUAAC
Molecule: ribosomal RNA, 244 nt
Filed under: uncultured bacterium
Lineage: Bacteria
Description: partial 16S ribosomal RNA
Rfam family: Bacterial small subunit ribosomal RNA
Source: RNAcentral